UAAAAGGCAAGGAAGAGGAGCAGUAAUCACGAACGGACGCUUCAGAGAGCCGGCGGUAGGUGCAAGCCGGUGCGCACGCGUGACGAAUCUCGCCUUGGAGCCGCAUGAUUAUGCCGUUUCGCCCGCGUUAAGGGUACAGAGUGAGCGAGGACGAAGAACGUCCGCGCUAACUAGGGUGGUACCACGGGAAUAACAACCUCUCGUCCCUAGC
Molecule: non-coding RNA, 211 nt
Filed under: Paenibacillus curdlanolyticus
Lineage: Bacteria; Bacillati; Bacillota; Bacilli; Caryophanales; Paenibacillaceae
Description: T-box sequence
Rfam family: T-box leader
About the family: Uncharged tRNA acts as the effector for transcription antitermination of genes in the T-box leader family.
Source: RNAcentral